RNAcentral lists this non-coding RNA (23 nucleotides) under Arabidopsis thaliana (thale cress). Lineage: Eukaryota; Viridiplantae; Streptophyta; Magnoliopsida; Brassicales; Brassicaceae. The record is from RNAcentral.
UAUGAAGUUGUUGAGUGUCCCUA